UACGUAGGGGGCAAGCGUUGUCCGGAAUCAUUGGGCGUAAAGAGCGCGUAGGCGGCCCUGUAAGUCCGCUGUGAAAGUCAAGGGCUCAACCCUUGAAUGCCGGUGGAUACUGCAGGGCUAGAGUCCGGAAGAGGCGAGUGGAAUUCCUGGUGUAGCGGUGAAAUGCGCAGAUAUCAGGAGGAACACCGAUGGCGAAGGCAGCUCGCUGGGACGUUACUGACACUGAGGCGCGAAAGCGUGGGGAGCGAACAGG
This 253-nucleotide ribosomal RNA is filed under the name uncultured bacterium. RNAcentral's name for it is "partial 16S ribosomal RNA". It matches the Rfam family "Bacterial small subunit ribosomal RNA", at positions 524 to 776 of the family's 1533-position model. The record is from RNAcentral.